Austrofundulus limnaeus is the source of this 760-nucleotide non-coding RNA. NCBI's taxonomy places the organism in Eukaryota, Metazoa, Chordata, Actinopteri, Cyprinodontiformes, Rivulidae. The record is from the annotation of a RefSeq genome assembly.
CAGAAAGACGCACAAAGUUUUUGUGUGAUGUUUUUUCACCGUGGGGACAGGGGGCCACGGUGAUACAAUCCUAUAGAGGCGUCGUACAAAAACCUCCUGUCGUUAACAGGCUGUGUGUCAACGGCUGCAUGAAGGUCAGGACGCCUGUCAGAGCAGAAACAUCUCCCAUCUGAAGGCAGCGUUUGGAGAACGAGUCAGAUGUGUUAAAACUACAAAACAACUGGGACAUUGUGAGGCUCAGYCUGCAUGUUCAAAGCUUCUCCAUCAUCUGGACCACUGAAAUGUGUCAGAACAMGAUGGUUGUGGAAAGUUUGGAGACUUUUUGGUGGAGGAGACACUCAGUGUGACACUGGAUCUGAAGCUUACUUUGGAAAAGGAACAAAACUCACUGUUUUGGAAYAUGACGUGAAACCUCCAGACGUAACUGUUUUUCCACCUUCGGAUAAGGAGUGCAGACGAAACAAGAGGAACCCAAGGAAGAAGACCCUGGUUUGCGUGGCCUCUAAUUUCUACCCGGAUCAUGUGGGUGUGUCCUGGUCCAUCAAUGGGCAGAAAGUCACUGAUGGUGUGCAGACGGACAGUGCUGCCCACUUCAGUGAAACUUCUUACACAAUCACCAGCAGACUCAGAGUUCGGGCAGAAGAGUGGUUUAAUCCCAGUCUGAAGUUCACGUGCACCGUUUCCUUCUAUGAUGGAGAAAAGACCAUCUUUGUUCCUGCCUCAGUCUCAUCAAACAUAGCAGACACAGGAUUGGGUCGAG